Molecule: long non-coding RNA, 1019 nt
Filed under: Homo sapiens (human)
Lineage: Eukaryota; Metazoa; Chordata; Mammalia; Primates; Hominidae
Description: HSALNT0396826
Source: RNAcentral
GAAAGAGUAGAGUCACAUCACCUAGCUACUGGGUUCAGUGAUAUGUCAUAAUCCCUUCUGUGGGCUGGGCCCACAUAAGGAGAGUCAAAUCACUUGGGUGCUGGGAAGAGGCACAUGUCACACGUGCAAGAAGGUCCAAGGAUGAGAUUAAAAAUUCCACAAAGGUCCAAAUUCUAGGGCCCAGACAGAAGAGAAGAGUCACAUCAUCUAGAUGAUGAAUGAAAAGAUAUGUCAUUAUUCUCCUUUGGGCAGUGCUUCUGCAGAAAAGUUGCACCUUCUAGGUGUUGGACUCAGCAAUAUAUCACAAUGUCUGCAGUAUUUUGGAAGGAGAGGAGAGUCACCAUUACUUAGGUGCUAGGCCCAGCAAUACAUCUCAAGCACUUCUUGGGCAAAGCCCAAGCAGUAAAAAAGAGUCACAUUACCUAGGUUCUGGGUAUAGCAAUAUGUCACAAAUGCCCCUAAGAAGAGGGCCCAGGAAAAGAGAGUCACCUUGGUGAGAAUGUCAGAGAUAUUCCAUUUUUGGGUAUUCACAAAAAAGAAUAAAGUCCCAUAACCUAGAAGGUGGGCUCUGCUCCAUGACACAAAUCACCCUAGUGGGCAGGUCCAUUAAAGAGAAGGCUGUCAAAGCACAUAGAUGCUGGGCAAAGUGAUAUGUCAUAAUCCCCAUGAUGAUAGGCCCAGAGACAUGUCACAAUGACCUCUUUAGGCAGAGACCAGGCAGAAGAAUCACAUCACUUGUGUGCUGGCCCUAGUGAUAAGUCACUCUCAUUUCUGUGGACAUGGCCCAGGCAGAAGAGCAGAGUCACAUUACCUAAGCGCUGGGUCAAGAGAUAUGUCACAAUCUUUUACAUGGGCAAAACCCAGUCUAUCUUCAAUUUACAGACCUUGGCUUUUCUACCCCAAUUCAAGAAGUCACUUCUUCAGUCAACCAAACCAAUUACAAAAUUGUGUUCCAAUGUCACAUGUUCAAAAAUAAACAGUUCCUGAAAAGAUGUAAGCUUUAAAUGGAAUUAGUCAGC